RNAcentral lists this ribosomal RNA (387 nucleotides) under uncultured bacterium. RNAcentral's name for it is "bacterial SSU rRNA". It matches the Rfam family "Bacterial small subunit ribosomal RNA", at positions 1006 to 1393 of the family's 1533-position model. The record is from RNAcentral.
AUGCUUUGGUGCCUUCGGGAACUCUGAGACAGGUGCUGCAUGGCUGUCGUCAGCUCGUGUUGUGAAAUGUUGGGUUAAGUCCCGCAACGAGCGCAACCCUUAUCCUUUGUUGCCAGCGGUCCGGCCGGGAACUCAAAGGAGACUGCCAGUGAUAAACUGGAGGAAGGUGGGGAUGACGUCAAGUCAUCAUGGCCCUUACGAGUAGGGCUACACACGUGCUACAAUGGCGCAUACAAAGAGAAGCGACCUCGCGAGAGCAAGCGGACCUCAUAAAGUGCGUCGUAGUCCGGAUUGGAGUCUGCAACUCGACUCCAUGAAGUCGGAAUCGCUAGUAAUCGUAGAUCAGAAUGCUACGGUGAAUACGUUCCCGGGCCUUGUACACACCGA